GAUGAACGCUGGCGGCGUGCCUAAUACAUGCAAGUCGAGCGAACAGACGAGGAGCUUGCUCCUCUGACGUUAGCGGCGGACGGGUGAGUAACACGUGGAUAACCUACCUAUAAGACUGGGAUAACUUCGGGAAACCGGAGCUAAUACCGGAUAAUAUAUUGAACCGCAUGGUUCAAUAGUGAAAGACGGUUUUGCUGUCACUUAUAGAUGGAUCCGCGCCGCAUUAGCUAGUUGGUAAGGUAACGGCUUACCAAGGCAACGAUGCGUAGCCGACCUGAGAGGGGGAUCGGCCACACUGGAACUGAGACACGGUCCAGACUCCUACGGGAGGCAGCAGUAGGGAAUCUUCCGCAAUGGGCGAGAGCCUGACGGAGCAACGCCGCGUGAGUGAUGAAGGUCUUCGGAUCGUAAAACUCUGUUAUUAGGGGAGAACAAAUGUGUAAGUAACUAUGCACGUCUUGACGGUACCUAAUCAGAAAGCCACGGCUAACUACGUG
This 497-nucleotide ribosomal RNA is filed under the name uncultured bacterium. Its description in RNAcentral is "partial 16S ribosomal RNA". It matches the Rfam family "Bacterial small subunit ribosomal RNA", at positions 28 to 507 of the family's 1533-position model. The record is from RNAcentral.